This 464-nucleotide ribosomal RNA is filed under the name Streptococcus uberis. RNAcentral describes it as "bacterial SSU rRNA". It matches the Rfam family "Bacterial small subunit ribosomal RNA", at positions 23 to 474 of the family's 1533-position model. Lineage: Bacteria; Bacillati; Bacillota; Bacilli; Lactobacillales; Streptococcaceae. The record is from RNAcentral.
CUCAGGACGAACGCUGGCGGCGUGCCUAAUACAUGCAAGUAGAACGCUGAGGACUGGUGCUUGCACUGGUCUAAGGAGUUGCGAACGGGUGAGUAACGCGUAGGUAACCUACCUCAUAGCGGGGGAUAACUAUUGGAAACGAUAGCUAAUACCGCAUGACAAUAGGGUACACAUGUACCUAAUUUAAAAGGGGCAAAUGCUUCACUAUGAGAUGGACCUGCGUUGUAUUAGCUAGUUGGUAAGGUAACGGCUUACCAAGGCGACGAUACAUAGCCGACCUGAGAGGGUGAUCGGCCACACUGGGACUGAGACACGGCCCAGACUCCUACGGGAGGCAGCAGUAGGGAAUCUUCGGCAAUGGGGGGAACCCUGACCGAGCAACGCCGCGUGAGUGAAGAAGGUUUUCGGAUUGUAAAGCUCUGUUGUUAGAGAAGAACGGUAAUGGGAGUGGAAAAUCCAUUACG